RNAcentral lists this ribosomal RNA (253 nucleotides) under uncultured bacterium. RNAcentral describes it as "partial 16S ribosomal RNA". It matches the Rfam family "Bacterial small subunit ribosomal RNA", at positions 524 to 776 of the family's 1533-position model. The record is from RNAcentral.
CACGGGGGGAGCAAGCGUUGUUCGGAAUCACUGGGCGUAAAGGGUGUCUAGGCGGUCAGGUAAGUGAGAUGUGAAAUGCCCCGGCUUACCCGGGGACCUGCAUCUCAUACUGCCUGGCUUGAGUAUGGGAGAGGAUGAGGGAAUUCCUGGUGUAGCGGUGAAAUGCGUAGAUAUCAGGAGGAACACCGGUGGCGAAAGCGGGUCUCUGGGCCGAUACUGACGCUGAGGAGCGAAAGCGUGGGGAGCGAACAGG